CCUGAGCCACCUGCUCCGAGCUCGAUUUCCCUUUCAAGCUGUGUGUUCUGCGGGGGCAGGGAGAGCUGCAAUGGCUCAUCUUUCAGGACAUGCUGCAAAGGGCCUUUGAAGUCAUCCGCCCUGCUCUUGGCACCUUGCGCCUGGAGCUGAGCUCUUCCAAAAAUGACCCCUGCGCAUUCCGUGGUGCGGCCGCCCAGCCCAGGCAGUCGCGGUCCAGAGCAGGGGAAGCAGCAGCGCGGCCGGCAGCUGGGAGAGCCGAGGCCCCGAGGGAGGACCCUGCCUCAAGCCAAGCAACCAGGCCCUGCGGCCCUCUCCCCACCGCCGUGCGGCCCUGGCGCAGGGAACCGGGACGGGGCUUUCCGGCCUUGAAGGGCAGACUUACUCCACCAAACAUUCCCAUCGUCGGCUGAUGGAGGGCCUCGAGCUGGGCGCUGUGGUAUAUGCCCUUCUAGAGAGACCUGCCAGACUGAGCUGCUUCCAUCAGCCAGACAUGAGGAUAAGAGCAUUUAGGCUCCAGGCUUAUCUGACUGGUCAGAGGAAUGGAUCAGUGGCCCCCAUUCAUUCUCCUGUCUCUUUCUGGAGUCACAACUUAGGAUUGUAAGCUUCCUGAGGCCUCCCUAGAAGCCGAGCUGAUGCCAGCACUAUGCUUCCUGUACGGCCCGCAGAACCAUAAGCCAAUUAAACUGCUUUCUUUAUAAAUUACCCAGUAUCAGGUAUUUCUUUGUAGCAAUGCAAGAACAGCCUAACACAGGUGGAAUGGUCGGAUUCCAGUCACUGUCUUGGACCUGGAGGUCCAGGGUCCCCCUUUAGGGCUGGUGGUGUGAUGUGCUAUAGAAGAAUCUUGGGAUUCCGACAACUUCAUGAACAGAAUGUCCACUUCAACCUGUGAGAGAUUGUUUGGGAAGAUCCCUCCCUUCCCAGUGCUUCUUGGCAAUGUGACUUUGCCCUCUUCCCAUCAAGAGAUAAAGUCUGUUUCCCUCCCUUGAAUUGGAUGUGUCCCUGAAUCAACCCAGCACUGUGCUCCCACCUCCGUGUGGCAAAAUUGGCAUUGGGUGACUUUUGGGGCCUGACACUCCCAUGUGAGAAAGCCAGCCUAGCCUCCCAGAAGAUGAGGGUCUCCAGCCAGGAGCACCAGCUGCUGGCACUGGAGUGAGCCGACGUAGAACCCUUCUGCCCAGGCCACCUUCCAGUUGCCUGCAGUUUCAGAAGGGAGCCCAGGAGAAACCCACAGGGGAAGUUCACCAAUGUACAAAACAUGAAGUGUAAAUUGUUGUUUUCAGCCACUAAGUUUUAGGGUGGUUUGUUGAUGCAGUGAAAGCUAAAUAAAAUCCAGCCCUGGGCUGCCCACCUCUGACUUUUUCAUGAGAAAGAAACUUUGAUCUUGUUUAAGGCAUGAUGGUUUUUGGUCUUGGGUGAACGGAAUCCUGAUGCACACAUGCACCUCUGGACCAGAGAUUUUUGCUUUGAUGUGAUACCUCAGUGGCCAGGGUGAUUCUCUCUUGCUGCUGAUGGAUGUGCUGAGCCCUUU
This is a long non-coding RNA of Pan troglodytes (chimpanzee), 1528 nucleotides long. RefSeq lists it as uncharacterized. The transcript has 4 exons. The record is from RefSeq and is a predicted model, not a curated record. Lineage: Eukaryota; Metazoa; Chordata; Mammalia; Primates; Hominidae.